RNAcentral lists this ribosomal RNA (190 nucleotides) under uncultured Flavobacterium sp. RNAcentral describes it as "partial 16S ribosomal RNA". It matches the Rfam family "Bacterial small subunit ribosomal RNA", at positions 338 to 525 of the family's 1533-position model. The record is from RNAcentral. Lineage: Bacteria; Pseudomonadati; Bacteroidota; Flavobacteriia; Flavobacteriales; Flavobacteriaceae.
CCUACGGGAGGCAGCAGUAGGGAAUAUUGGACAAUGGACGAAAGUCUGAUCCAGCCAUGCCGCGUGCAGGAUGACGGCCCUAUGGGUUGUAAACUGCUUUUAUAUAGGAAGAAACCUUUCCACGUGUGGAAAGCUGACGGUACUAUACGAAUAAGGACCGGCUAACUCCGUGCCAGCAGCCGCGGUAAUA